CCUACGGGCGGCAGCAGUGAGGAAUAUUGGUCAAUGGGAGGAAUCCUGAACCAGCCAUGCCGCGUGCAGGACGACGGCUCUACGAGUUGUAAACUGCUUUUGUACCGGGGUAAAAUGCUCUACGAGUAGGGUUUUGAAAGUACGGUACGAAUAAGGAUCGGCUAACUCCGUGCCAGCAGCCGCGGUAAUACGGAGGAUGCGAGCGUUAUCCGGAUUUAUUGGGGUUAAAGGGUGCGUAGGCGGAAUGCCAAGUCAGCGGUAAAAUCGCGGGGCUCAACCUCGCUCCGCCGUUGAACCUGGCGUUCUUGAGUGGGCGAGAAGUAUGCGGAAUGCGUGGUGUAGCGGUGAAAUGCAUAGAUAUCACACAGAACACCGAUUGCGAAGGCAUCUCACGAAUCCGCGAUUGACGCUGAUGCACGAAAGCGUGGGUAUCAAACAGGAUUAGAUACCCCUGUAGUC
This 459-nucleotide ribosomal RNA is filed under the name uncultured bacterium. Its description in RNAcentral is "partial 16S ribosomal RNA". It matches the Rfam family "Bacterial small subunit ribosomal RNA", at positions 338 to 795 of the family's 1533-position model. The record is from RNAcentral.